RNAcentral lists this ribosomal RNA (253 nucleotides) under uncultured bacterium. Its description in RNAcentral is "partial 16S ribosomal RNA". It matches the Rfam family "Bacterial small subunit ribosomal RNA", at positions 524 to 776 of the family's 1533-position model. The record is from RNAcentral.
UACGUAGGUGGCAAGCGUUGUCCGGAUUUACUGGGCGUAAAGAGCGCGCAGGCGGCUGGUCAAGUCCGAUGUGAAAUCUCCCGGCUUAACUGGGAAACUGCAUCGGAAACUGAUCGGCUUGAAGGUGGGAGAGGGUAGUGGAAUUCCCGGUGUAGUGGUGAAAUGCGUAGAUAUCGGGAGGAACACCUGAGGCGAAGGCGGGUUACUGGGCUGAUACUGACGCUGAUGCGCGAAAGCCAGGGGAGCAAACGGG